RNAcentral lists this microRNA (20 nucleotides) under Lotus japonicus. Its description in RNAcentral is "lja-miR11072g-3p". Lineage: Eukaryota; Viridiplantae; Streptophyta; Magnoliopsida; Fabales; Fabaceae. The record is from miRBase by way of RNAcentral.
AGGGACUAAUUUCAGACGGC